ACAUGCAAAAGGAUCACAACAUCCAUUUCCAUGUGUAAAAAAAUAAAAAAGGUAAAAACUCAUGCAUCAAACCUCCACAAAAAAUCCCUACUCCUCUCAUUGAUCCCCCCAUCCCUGAAGCAGCAGACAGCUCAUCAACUGAUCGCAUACAACAAAUUUGCAAAUUCCGCUUUAAUUCAGAACUCAUGACCCAAAAAUCCCAGCUUGCUGCAUCCAUCUCUACUCUUACAGCUUCCUGCUUCUUUCAGACACUGGAAACUGGCAUGCAUAGACUUCUAUGGUUGUUCAGUAACGACUGGUAUCGAAUUGGGGCAGUUAAACAAACGAUUUGGACAAAAUGUUUCUUUGAUGCUUUACCAAUUUCGUAAGAAGAAAACAAAGAGAGAGAGAGAGAGAGAGAGAGAGAGAGAGAG
This 413-nucleotide long non-coding RNA is filed under the name Elaeis guineensis (African oil palm). Its description in RNAcentral is "long non-coding RNA (EGUI_LNC029852)". Lineage: Eukaryota; Viridiplantae; Streptophyta; Magnoliopsida; Arecales; Arecaceae. The record is from RNAcentral.